AGCGAACGCUGGCGGUAGGCCUAACACAUGCAAGUCGAACGGCAGCACAGUAAGAGCUUGCUCUUACGGGUGGCGAGUGGCGGACGGGUGAGGACUACAUCGGAAUCUACUUUUUCGUGGGGGAUAACGUCGGGAAACUUACGCUAAUACCGCAUACGCCCUACGGGUGAAAGCAGGGGAUCUUCGGACCUUGCGCGAUUGAACGAGCCGAUGUCGGAUUAGCUCGUUGGCGGGGUAAAGGCCCACCAAGGCGACGAUCCGUAGCUGGUCUGAGAGGAUGGUCAGCCACACUGGAACUGAGACACGGUCCAGACGCCUACGGGAGGCAGCAGUGGGGAAUAUUGGACAAUGGGCGCAAGCCUGAUCCAGCCAUACCGCGGGGGUGAAGAAGGCGUUCGGGUUGUAAAGCCCUUCUGUUGGGAAAGAAAAGCAGCAGGUUAAUACCCCGCUGUUCUGACGGUACCCAAAGAAUAAGCACCGGCUAACUUCGUG
RNAcentral lists this ribosomal RNA (492 nucleotides) under uncultured bacterium. RNAcentral's name for it is "partial 16S ribosomal RNA". It matches the Rfam family "Bacterial small subunit ribosomal RNA", at positions 29 to 507 of the family's 1533-position model. The record is from RNAcentral.